UACGGGGGGGGCAAGCGUUGUUCGGAAUUACUGGGCGUAAAGGGCUCGUAGGUGGCCAACUAAGUCAGACGUGAAAUCCCUCGGCUUAACCGGGGAACUGCGUCUGAUACUGGAUGGCUUGGAUUUGGGAGAGGGAUGCGGAAUUCCAGGUGUAGCGGUGAAAUGCGUAGAUAUCGGGAGGAACAUCAGUGGCGAAGGCGGCUGCCUGGCCCAAUACCGACACUCAGGUGCGACAGCGUGGGGAGCAAACAGG
This 253-nucleotide ribosomal RNA is filed under the name uncultured bacterium. Its description in RNAcentral is "partial 16S ribosomal RNA". It matches the Rfam family "Bacterial small subunit ribosomal RNA", at positions 524 to 776 of the family's 1533-position model. The record is from RNAcentral.